GGGCGUAUAACUCAGCGGCUAGAGUGCGAUCUUCACACGGUCGAAGUCACUGGUUCGAAUCCAGUUACGCCCA
Gloeobacter kilaueensis JS1 is the source of this 73-nucleotide transfer RNA. It matches the Rfam family "tRNA". Rfam says of the family: Transfer RNA (tRNA) molecules are approximately 80 nucleotides in length. The record is from Rfam. Lineage: Bacteria; Bacillati; Cyanobacteriota; Cyanophyceae; Gloeobacterales; Gloeobacteraceae.